This 440-nucleotide ribosomal RNA is filed under the name uncultured bacterium. RNAcentral's name for it is "partial 16S ribosomal RNA". It matches the Rfam family "Bacterial small subunit ribosomal RNA", at positions 338 to 795 of the family's 1533-position model. The record is from RNAcentral.
CCUACGGGUGGCAGCAGUAGGGAAUAUUGCACAAUGGGGGAAACCCUGAUGCAGCGACGCCGCGUGGAGGAUGAAGGUUUUCGGAUUGUAAACUCCUUUUGUUAGAGAAGAUAAUGACGGUAUCUAACGAAUAAGCACCGGCUAACUCCGUGCCAGCAGCCGCGGUAAUACGGAGGGUGCAAGCGUUACUCGGAAUCACUGGGCGGAAAGAGCGCGUAGGCGGGAUAGCAAGUCAGAUGCGAAAUCCUAUGGCUUAACCAUAGAACUGCAUUUGAAACUGGUAUUCUAGAGUAUGGGAGAGGUAGGUGGAAUUCUUGGUGUAGGGGUGAAAUCCGUAGAGAUCAAGAGGAAUACUCAUUGCGAAGGCGGCCUGCUAGAACAUAACUGACGCUGAUGCGCGAAAGCGUGGGGAGCAAACAGGAUUAGAUACCCGGGUAGUC